This is a long non-coding RNA of Pezoporus occidentalis (night parrot), 655 nucleotides long. RefSeq lists it as uncharacterized. The record is from RefSeq and is a predicted model, not a curated record. Lineage: Eukaryota; Metazoa; Chordata; Aves; Psittaciformes; Psittacidae. The transcript has 2 exons.
CCCGCCGCCAUCUUGGGAGUGGCGGCGGCCUGAGGGGAGGCGCCAUGUUGAGCGCGGCGCGCCCUGUGGUACGAGGCGGGAUGGCGGGGCCGGGAUUCCCAGAUCCCACCUGUUUUUGGGAAGUGGGAAAACACAAAUUCAUUUAUUAACUGGAUUGCAAGCAACACACACGGAAGAAGCCAUUCGGGGUGGAAGAAGGAGCAGGAGGAGGCGGCGGCACGGCUAUGGCGUUACGUGCCACCAUUUGAAGGCGAAGGGCCGGCGCUGGACGUUGGUGCCGCAGCGCACCUCCCCGAGCCUGCCGUGGUAGGAGCACACGUCCUCGAGGAAGCGGCAGCACAGCCCCAGAGGCUCCAGGAGGCAGCGGGUUUGUCGCUCCAGGCAGCACUCACCCCCCGUUAUGGGGCCGAAGGGUUUGGGGAUGCCCAGGUCCUUGGCCAGGACGAUCAUGGUGACCUGCGGGGGUGACAUGAGAGGGGCCCCGGUGGCGCUGGCGCUGAUGGAGCUGAAGGGAAGGUGCUCAUCACCCUCCUCCGGCAGCCUCACCCCAAAAUGGGGCAUCCACAGCGCUCUUUGCAGCUGCUUUCCCCCAGGAUUCCAAACCCAACGUUGUUUUCCCCUUUUUUUAUCAUUAAACUCACCCCAUGCUGUGUGA